Long non-coding RNA from Acanthopagrus latus (yellowfin seabream), 7434 nucleotides. RefSeq lists it as uncharacterized. Lineage: Eukaryota; Metazoa; Chordata; Actinopteri; Spariformes; Sparidae. The transcript is spliced from 4 exons. The record is from RefSeq and is a predicted model, not a curated record.
CUGGUUAACUGACACCUGAUGGGAAGCUGCAGUCUCUUGGUUGACACUUCCUGUUCUUCAGAGGAAAUAAACACAUGUUCUUUCAAAAUAAGAGCCUGAUCCCAACUCUAGUUUGAAGAGAAACCUCCUGAAAAUCCUCAGUGAUUCAAACCUAUCAUCUCCAUCAGGAUGUCAGCACACUCUCACAUCACUGUUGGGUUACAGGUUGAGCACUACUCACCAAACUUAAUGAAAGUGAAAUAAAACUAAAGUAGGUGUUAAAAAACAUCUGAACAGUUUUCUUCCUGUUAACCUAGAAAGUAACUAAAGUGAGAUGACAAUAUUCAGAGUUUGGUCUUAGUUGUUCACAGCGCAUCACAAAGUGUUCCUCUUUUAACUUCGCACUGACAAAAAAUAAACUUGUCUCACAAACUUGUGCUCCUAUUUAGAUUGAAAAAACCUGAUUAAAAUAUUGAAAAUAAUAAAGACAUAAAUAAAAUGAUAUUACAUUAUGUUAGAACAACUUUUUAAACUAUAAAAACUAAAUCAAAACAACUCUGUUCUAACCACAUCAAUAGAGUCAAAUCUUAUAGAAUCAAAAUUUUCCUCAGUAGUUCUUUUCAAACUCCCUUUAAAAAGAUUCACUCAGAUUAACAGUUUAAAAGCUACGGGAAUAAAUUUUAACUGCCAGAGAGCAAAGCAGAACCUCUGAAGCUAUCUGCUUAUUUACACCAUCACUCAAGUGUGUGUGUGUGUGUGUGUGUGUGUGUGUGUGUGUGUGUGUGUGUGUGUGUUCUUGUACUUACCACAUACUGAGGACCAGAAUGAGUUUUUAACCAACAAAGUGAGGUCAUUUUUGGGAAGUGAGGACAUUUUGGCCGGUCCUCACUUUGUUUUCACUGAAAUCACUUCCUAAGGUUGUAAACAUGCUAUACUCUGUUUCUCUCAAAAGUCCUCAUUUUGGUGCAAGAAUCCGUUUUUCCACUCCGGAUUUUCACACAGUUUUGCUCUCUGGCUCCCACUACAGGCGAUUUUCUGGUACUGCACCCAAAUUAUUCCACAACUGCAAAGCAUGUAGUCCUCUGUUAUGUUGUGCUUACAGCUAUAAUAAAUAGUUUUGUACUUGACAUUUGCAAUUCUUAUUGUUUUUUGAAAAUAAUUAAAUGUAGAUUAAUAUAUUUAUUGAGCUUACUAGGUCCUGAGCACUGAAAGUGCAUGGACCCUCUUGAAAUUGCUCUGAUUAUCUUUCCUUCCAUCUUUCUUUCUUUCUUUCUUUUCACCUUAAAGUAAGUGGCUUUUGGGAGAGACUAAAGAUGCCUGUCAACUCAUGAAACUUUGCACAAAAUUUGAUGAUUGGAGAAAUGUUCAUUUAAUAUGGAUUUAAGGCACAGGCAUGGCAAAAUGGGUGGACACUGCCCCUAAGAGAGUGAGCUUUACAUGAAAAUAACUUUGUUGCUAACAAAUGACAUAACUGGCAUUAAGGAUUCAGAUUUAGAUGUGUGGCAAACCAGCUCUCCUCAGCUUCCUCAAGAAGAGAUGCUGUUGUACCUUCCCAAUGACAGUAAAUGUAUGACAGGCCCAGAGAGUUCUUCAGUACUGUUCACCCCCAGAAAUUUAAAACUGGAGACACUCUCCACUGCUUCACUACUGAUUAAAACUGGGUUAUGAUUUUUCCACUUCCUCCUGAAGUCCAAUAUAAUCUCCUUUGUCUUCUUGUUGUUCAACAUAGAUAACUGGUGGCACAUCAAAUUGUCAGGUUUUGCACCUCAUCUCUGUGUGCCAUCUUGUUGUUGUUAUGGAUCAAGCCUGUGAUCUUCAAGUCAUUUGUAGACCGAGUCCCUCUGUCCCUCACCCAUCACAACCUAUUCUAAAUAUUCUGGUGACACACUGCUAUACUUGCAUUCCUCAGUGAUGAUAACUCGUUAAGCUAUCAAAAUUUCCAUUGCCCACUUCACACGAUGAUGGAUGGACAGCUAUGUACAGCUGAAAAAAAACAGAGAACUGGUCAUUAAUACUUCCAACACACACAGCACAGUCCACCACUCCACCCUCAAAUCCAUCUGCAUCAAUAAUUACUGCUGAGAUUGUGGAGAGAUUGAUUUGAGUGCAGUGGACAAGCAGUAGUCCUAACCCCCUAACCCAAACUGGAGCUUAGCCCUAAAACACUGGGCUACAGACCUGGUUCUGACAAAUGUUUGUAGAGCUCCUGGAGGGUUUUCAAGACCAGUCUGAUCCAUGUCCCUAGCCCCUUCAAUUCCUAAGUUAUGGGCCUUUAUGUUUGAAAGGUCAGGAGGUCAUCAUGCAAAGUGAACCAUGAAAACUUUUACCUCCAUAACUCCUGAACCACUCAAGUAAGAAGGACACCCAGGGCACUGUUGCGUUCAGCAAAAUGAGGGCUACGUGUUGUCGUGAAGUGAAAAAUAUGCCCUCACAUUUCUGUGGAAUGUGCCAUCAUAAGAGGUCAAAAGUUGGUCAAAGCUUGAGAUUUUGUUGAAGGGCAUGGGUGGUGAACUUUGAUGUUUCGCAAGCAAAAGAAGGAAGCUGUUAUAACUCAGCUGUACAUGAUGGAAUCUGCCCCAAAACUUACAGGUAUGAUGAGACUCCCACCCUGAAGACAUCUCCAUGCCAAUAUUCAGUUAUCGUGUAUUUACCUCUCCUUGUUUCAGAUUCCCCCUUCCCUGCUUGUGUGGUUUUUUCCUCCUCCCUGAUUGUCUUCCCCCACCCUGAUUACUUUCACCUUAUUACCUCGUGUGUAUGUUUAUAGUCCCUGUGUUUCCCGUGUCUGUUGCCAGUUUGCCUUUUGUCCAUGUACCGAACUUUGCUGUCAGUCAACACUGUUACCUUGCCUACUCUGUGUCAGUUUUGCUUUGGAGUCUGCACCAUCAAGUAUCCCAGCCACAAUGCAUUCUCAUAAAUGAAAUGAACAUUGUGUGAAUAUUUGAAUGAUUUCUAAAAUCAGCUAAAGGAUGAAAUGACGUGACCUAACAAAUUGGGAAAGAAAGCCCAUCUCAAACUGAGUAUUUCAGUUAAAUAACCCACUGUAAUGAAGGAAGCUCUGUCAAUCUAGUCAAUUUGGUAUAAAAAAUGAAUGAAUUACAUCAUCGAUGAAUACUUGAUCUGAAAUAAUGUGAUUUAUAACAUAUAGGGCUAAAGGAUGAAGCAACGUGAUGUCGUGACCAGUAUGCUUGAAUGCAGGUUACACAAAACAAUUACUACUAAGGAAAUAAGGACCUUAUAAUCAGCUAUUUGUUAUGUAACAAUCUGAUCAAUUUUAAAAUCAAUCUGGAACAAUUCAUUAUGUAAGGGGUCAUUAACAGCUGUUUAACAUAUAUGGCGUUAGCAGCAAGUGUGUGUCGCAGGAUGACUUCCUUUUGCAGUGUUUCAUACAGUUGAGUCCUGGCAUUUAUCAAAUGUAAAGUCUUUUUAAAAACAACGCACUGUCAGUGGCAACUCUGCAACAAGCAAACAGGAGGUGACUUUGACAUCAUGCCCUGCUCUCACCAUAUAUGAAGUGUUACACAAUGUCAUCAGACAAAGCAUAGUUACUUGCACGAGUUUGACAGCGGGUUUAUUUGCCAACUGCCAGAAUACCAUGACGUACAUUAACUGUUAUCUAGUGUGCAACAGCAGAGUUUGUGCUUGUGUUCACAGCAAGUUAGCUAAUUGAAAUUAACCAGAAGAUCCGGAUGUUAUUCUCCAGUGUCUUUUCCCCCACUCCACUCCAGCAGACCCAACAGAGAGUAGAGACAGACAGUUGGGGAGUUGUGGAGGACAAAGCUUUGGUAGAGGAGUCUCCCCCUCCUGAAGCUUCUCUCUGCAGCUCCCCGACUGUCAGCUCUGUCUGUGCCAGCGUCUGUCUCUCUGCUCCACUCAGCAAAGUAAUAGGCUGUACUACUCUGUGAUAAAAGUAACCACACAGCAAGCUUUGUUAUUUGUUCAAUAUUUGCAGGAAAAAUUAUCCAAAAAGCACUGACACCACUAAAAUGCUGAUGAGUACUCCUGGUUGGCUUGGUGAAACUGUGACGCUCCUUAUUAUUCAGAACCUUAAUAUUCAGCCUUAAUAUAAUUUAAAUGAGUGAGUUAUAAAAUAAUUUGUGUUCUAGAGACCAAAAACAUUUUUUGUGCUAGGCUGUAAAUAUAUUUAUUUCUACUGUGAAGUUUGGCAUUUUAACAUGGGGGUCUAUGGAAAUUGAAUUGCUAUUGGAUGCUGCUUGAUUAGAACAAGAUUUUUUCCUGUUUUGCUCAGCUUUGGUGAAAUGAAAAAAGCCCAAUAAUAUUGAUACUGUUAUCUAAAAAAUAAAAUAAAAUAAAGUUAAAAAAGUAAUUCUUCUGAGAUAAAUAUUGGGUCUAUUUUGUACAAUCUGGGCAACUUUAUCUGGUUUUGGGAAAAUGUGAUUACAUUUUAUAUUUAUUCAAAGCCAGAGAAAAAUCUAAAUCCUUCUCCAGCUUUCAGGCAACUCUCUUUUACUGAGCAAGAGAAAAGGGCAUGCUCUGCUCAUGCUUCUCCCACCCCUCCCCCCACUUCUGGAAUGUGCAAAUUAAGAUUCAGCCAAUCAGAGCUCUCCAUGAGCCCAAGUAUCAAGGUGAAACUUCGGUCAGCAGCAAGACUAUGCUGUCCAGCUGCACGUCAUGGAGACAGUGAAACGGAGGAGAAAAACUAUUACAUGGAAAGACAACCAGUAUUCAUCAUUGAAAAUGCAAGCUGAAUUAUGCAGUAACCGAGGUAAGCCUUUUUUUUUUCCUAUGUCUGGCUGUUUGCAAGUGGUGUGUUUGAGAUGAAAGUGUGAUUGUGGUUAACGAGUAUAACUGCGUGGUUCAGCGGUGAUGAAGAGAGCAUGCUAGCUAGACUGUACAUUAGCAUAGCUGAUGCGAAGCUAAGCACAAGGCUAACAGGAACUGUGAGGAAGCUACUACGUUAAGCAGUGUUAGCACAGCCAGACACAGGUCAGUUCGACACAGGUCAGUCUUCAUAAAAUCUGACAACUGCAAUGUGGUAAAACUGAUGUGCACAUGAAGGCAACAUGAAGCUCCGGGGCUUAUGUGAGCUGUGAAACCCGGACACAGACAGCAUAGGAGAGAUUGAAAUAGGAGCUUAUAAAUGACACCAAAACAGUUUUUAUUCUCUACACUGUGGCGUUAUUCUACAGAUUUUCUCACAUAUAGUGCUUGGCUGGUGUUAAUUUUGGACCGUGCAGGCUUUGUCCCCUGACUGGUUUAUCUGCUUGGGCUUUAUAUGGACCAACAAUUAAUUAAUAUUGUCAGAUAGUGUUAUGUCAUAUGUUAGAUUCCACUAAUAAAAUGCUUUUCUUUUUAUGAAUGGUAGGGGAAACAGUGCUUUUUAAUGAAUCAUACUUCGUCUUUACACUAUAUUAUUUUCAAGUCUUAUCAAAGGCUGUUUUGCUUGAAAAUGUAACAGUACUGGUGUAUUUACUGAAAUCGAUUUGGUCUGUGUUAAUUUUUUCAAACAUAAAAUUUGGGUGCACCUCCUGGAGGAGCUAAAUAUGUUCUGUCCCAGGCUGCAGUCUCAGCAGGGACUUACUCAAUCAUCACACAAAGGCUGGAAAGUUGCUGUUGUAUUUUAUAUAAUUUGUUCACAUGUUGCUGGUCCCAUGCUGUGCGCACGGAAGGUGUGUGUGCGAGUUACUGUGGUUACUGCAUCCUGUCACUCUGACACCUUCUCCUGAUUCAGUAACAUGUUUUUAGGUUGGUCUGCCUCUACUAAAUUCAUGAACCUCAACACUCAAAUCUAAUGAUAUAAUUUUAGAUUUUGAUUGAAACCUUAGUCUCCUUCAUGAUGAAAUGUUUUGAUGUGUUAAGCAGGCUGUUCAGUUAGUUCAUACAUCUACUUCUGAAUAUCAGAGCACAGUCUGUAUCACAGUAGUCUUUGACCUGAGAUAAUGUCAGUUAAAUGAUCUGCUGUUAACACUGUGAUUAUUGGUUUGUGUGUGACAUUUAAAGGGAAGACUGAGCACUUUGGACCCUAUGGUCUUUGGUAUGUUAGUAUUGACUAUUCACUUUGUAUUUUAAGUAAUUUAGCACUUUUUGUUUAAUAUAUAUAUUGUAAUUAACACAUAAUGAUAUGUGCUCUAUUGUGAGACAUAUUUGUCUGUUUUGUUAUUUAUGGGAAUUGCCACAGCAACAUUGACAUUUAAUUUUACACCUGUAAGAUUCAGUUUCUUGUUUUCCUUGAAACAUUUUCAUAGGUAAGGAACAUGAAGCCACCUCAGCCAAGGGUUCAAGAGGAGUCAAAGUGAGCCAGACAUCAUUUUCAGACAGACAACUAGAAGAAAAUAAUGGUGGAGAUCUGCCAAGUCCGACCCCUACAAGUUCCCUUGUUGAGCACCGACAGGAAGCUGUAACUACACGAAGACAUAAUGAUGCUGGUGAUGAGGGUUUUGAUGAUGAGGAUGGAAGUUCUACUGUUGAGUACCGAUGGGAAGCUGUGACUACACGAGGACAUGAUGAUGAUGAUGAUGAUGAUGAGGAGGAGGAGGAGGAGGAGGAGGAGGAGGAGAGUGAUGAUGAAGAGUGUGAUUGCUGCUGCUGUUAAAACUGGUGCUUCAAAAGUGCACAGAAAGAGACCCUGUUCUGCUGAGGAGAGAACUGCUGUCAAGCGGAGGAUGACAGUUUGUAGCUCUCAGGAAAGUACCAGCAAAAGAUGACUGCCUGCUCUGCAUUGGUAAAGAGUCUCCUAUAUUUAACACCAGAAUAUGGGUAGAAAAAGGAGUCUGUUAUUCAUAAAGUUACCUAGUGUUAAGGGAUAUGAUGCAGAUCUGUUCACUAAGAACCACGCUGCUGGCUACAAGUUGCCAAUGUUGAAAUGUUGUAUCGAGUUGGCAGUAUUAUGUUUCUGUUGUUUCUCUGAGAACAACUGACAAUUUAUGAAAGAAGCUUUUCUUUGCAAUGUUUGCAAUAAAAUGUACAAUUAUGUGGGGCCUUGCUGAUUUGUCUUUUUUUUUUUUCAUGAAUUUCAGCAAUCAAAUAUCAAAAAUAAACCCAAUUUAAAAAUUCGCUUAAUGACAGUAAAUUUAUAACGAACGAAACUGGCUAUUGAGGAUUACAUUUUCUAAAAUUAAGCAUUUCAUAAUUUCAUAAGGUAAGAACAGAGUAUUAUACCAUGGAAUUAUGCCAAACCUGUCCUCAGUAGGCCUAGAGUAAGCAUAUCUCAGUCAAUAAUCCCAGUGAAAUACUGUAAAACAAUAAUCUCACAAACUAAGUUUCUGGUCCCCACUUUGGUGGUUAAAAUCUUUUAUCUGAAACUUUGUCUUUCACAAAAUCUAAGGUGGUGUAUAGGUUAAGGGUGCCCUCUACUGUCAAGAAAUGCUAUUUUUAUGUUGGUCUGUAGCGUGGAAGUGCCGGUCCUCGCUUUGUGAGUCUUUUUCACCGGACCUCACUAUGCAGCAAGUACAAGAAUGUGUGUGUGUGUGUGUGUGUGUGUGUGUGUGUGUGUGUGUG